Nematostella vectensis (starlet sea anemone) is the source of this 718-nucleotide long non-coding RNA. RefSeq lists it as uncharacterized. NCBI's taxonomy places the organism in Eukaryota, Metazoa, Cnidaria, Anthozoa, Actiniaria, Edwardsiidae. The transcript has 3 exons. The record is from RefSeq and is a predicted model, not a curated record.
GAAUAGCCAAUCAGGAAAGAGAUGAUGCAAUAACAGCCAUGUGGUCCCACAAAUGUCCCAUAAAAAGUCGGCAAUUGACGGCAAAAAAACCUUUUGGCUGUUCUUAAUAAUCGUGGAAGCGUUUCAAAGCCAGAAACUUGUUAUUUAGGCUAAAAAUCGAGAAAAUGGGAGACAGCCGUGCAGCUAUUUUUUUUUCCUCCUUUACCGGAAGCCGUGAUUUUCAUUAGUCGAGAGAGAAACGCGAUGCGCCAACUUUCUAUGCUCGAACAGAUCCACUUUUACGGAAAGGCAGACUGGACUAGGCCAACCCAAAGAGGGACGUGGUUAAGAUACAUACCUGUAAGUGAAAAAGUGAACAUAAGUGAAAAAAAUCAAAACAUUUAAAUGUGUAUUAUGCAGAAAAAACUAAUAAUAGGGGACUAACAAUAGGGGAUGAAAUAAGACGCUAGGAGAUUACAUGACCUUUUGGAUGGAAAAUUCAAAACACAAAACACCUGUCAUGACUGAAAAAUGUUACACUCAAAAAAAGGCAGAGAAUACCUUGAAGUACUUAGUAACAAAUAGCAAACAAAAUCUAAAAUGCUACUUUUUGUAAGGAGUCAUUGAGAUUUGCAGCUUUCAUACCAGCAUUUAUUUGUAGACUUAUCAAGGGGAAAAAAACUGAAAAAGCCGAGAUUUUUGGGGUAUGCAUUUUGGCCUUGUGGUAUUGGUGUAAAAA